Molecule: ribosomal RNA, 497 nt
Filed under: uncultured bacterium
Lineage: Bacteria
Description: partial 16S ribosomal RNA
Rfam family: Bacterial small subunit ribosomal RNA
Source: RNAcentral
GAUGAACGCUGGCGGCGUGCCUAAUACAUGCAAGUCGAGCGAACAGGCGAGGAGCUUGCUCCUCUGACGUUAGCGGCGGACGGGUGAGUAACACGUGGAUAACCUACCUAUAAGACUGGGAUAACUUCGGGAAACCGGAGCUAAUACCGGAUAAUAUAUUGAACCGCAUGGUUCAAUAGUGAAAGACGGUUUUGCUGUCACUUAUAGAUGGAUCCGCGCCGCAUUAGCUAGUUGGUAAGGUAACGGCUUACCAAGGCAACGAUGCGUAGCCGACCUGAGAGGGUGAUCGGCCUCACUGGAACUGAGACACGGUCCAGACUCCUACGGGAGGCAGCAGUAGGGAAUCUUCCGCAAUGGGCGAAAGCCUGACGGAGCAACGCCGCGUGAGUGAUGAAGGUCUUCGGAUCGUAAAACUCUGUUAUUAGGGAAGAACAAAUGUGUAAGUAACUAUGCACGUCUUGACGGUACCUAAUCAGAAAGCCACGGCUAACUACGUG